RNAcentral lists this ribosomal RNA (449 nucleotides) under uncultured bacterium. RNAcentral's name for it is "partial 16S ribosomal RNA". It matches the Rfam family "Bacterial small subunit ribosomal RNA", at positions 29 to 523 of the family's 1533-position model. The record is from RNAcentral.
AACGAACGCUGGCGGCAUGCCUAACACAUGCAAGUCGAACGAGAUCUUCGGGUCUAGUGGCGCACGGGUGCGUAACGCGUGGGAAUCUGCCCUUUGGUUCGGAAUAACAGUUGGAAACGACUGCUAAUGCCGGAUGAUGACGAAAGUCCAAAGAUUUAUCGCCAGAGGAUGAGCCCGCGUAGGAUUAGCUAGUUGGUGUGGUAAAGGCGCACCAAGGCGACGAUCCUUAGCUGGUCUGAGAGGAUGAUCAGCCACACUGGAACUGAGACACGGCCCAGACUACUACGGGAGGCAGCAGUGGGGAAUAUUGGACAAUGGGCGAAAGCCUGAUCCAGCAAUGCCGCGUGAGUGAUGAAGGCCUUAGGGUUGUAAAGCUCUUUUACCCGGGAUGAUAAUGACAGUACCGGGAGAAUAAGCUCCGGCUAACUCCGUGCCAGCCGCCGCGGUAA